GCUCCGGAGGCCUAGUGGUAUAGCGUCCGCCUCGGAUGCGGGAGGUCGUGGGUUCUAGCCCUGGCCGAAUCA
This is a non-coding RNA of Potamilus streckersoni, 72 nucleotides long. The record is from the annotation of a GenBank genome assembly. Lineage: Eukaryota; Metazoa; Mollusca; Bivalvia; Unionida; Unionidae.